Molecule: ribosomal RNA, 459 nt
Filed under: uncultured bacterium
Lineage: Bacteria
Description: partial 16S ribosomal RNA
Rfam family: Bacterial small subunit ribosomal RNA
Source: RNAcentral
CCUACGUGAGGCAGCAGUGAGGAAUAUUGGUCCAUGGGCGGAAGCCUGAACCAGCCAAGUAGCGUGCGGGAUGAAGGCCCUACGGGUCGUAAACCGCUUUUGCACGGGGAUAACACCCUCCACUUGUGGAGGUCUGCAGGUACCGUGCGAAUAAGGGCCGGCUAAUUCCGUGCAAGCAGCCGCGGUACUACGGAAGGCACGAGCGUUAUCCGGAUUCAUUGGGCUUAAAGGGAGCGUAGGCGGGCGUUCAAGUCAGCUGUAAAAUCGCGCGGCUCAACCGCGCCCCGCAGUUGAAACUGGACGCCUUGAGUGCACAACAGGCAGGCGGAAUUCGUGGUGUAGCGGUGAAAUGCAUAGAGAUCACGAGGAACCCCGAUUGCGAAGGCAGCCUGCCGGGGUGCGACUGACGCUGAGGCUCGAAGGUGCGGGUAUCAAACAGGAUUAGAUACCCUGGUAGUC